Molecule: long non-coding RNA, 2127 nt
Filed under: Gallus gallus (chicken)
Lineage: Eukaryota; Metazoa; Chordata; Aves; Galliformes; Phasianidae
Source: RNAcentral
CAGAAGGCCAAACUGAUUUACACUAGGGCUCUGAAUGGAAGAUUGAGACCGGAUGCACUCACAUCUGGCUACUGAUACACACGUGCCCUCUUGCAAAACACUGCUGUUCUAGCAGAAUAUAUGCUGCUCGGAGGCAGCUUCUCUCUCUUCCCCUCAGUUUCUUGUGAUACUGCUGGUCUUGCUACUAAAAGAUUAAAAGGAGUUCUUAGGAAGUCAGUGCUAAUGAAAUAACCUAGAACAGAGCCUCCAGAGACUGUGACCUCUGCUUAUCCUUACGUUCAACAGGAGGCUGCCUGGAGCAAUUUAUCCUCUAAUCCCACGUAAACUUCGCUGCAAGAGUUACUACUGUGCCAGAUGCACAGUGGAGAAUCUCACCUCUAACAUGAGAGAUCCCAGACUGUAAGGAUGCAUCUGCAGCAACAGAGUAACAUCAGUUUCCUGACUGCUAGCAAGAUCCAGAAGGCUGAAGAAUACUUCAUUUCAAAGACAGGCAUGAAAGCCUGAUAGCUAAAAGAAGCAAAGACUUGCAGAGAACAGAUCUGCUCAGUGAGAUUCACGCACAGGACAGCUAUUUCUGGUUCAGCAGGCAGAUGUGUUUAUUCUUUGUCAGAAGGCGACACAGAUCGGUACCUGAAGGCAGUAAUCAUUUACAAGCAAGGGACUGUCACUACCCUAACGCAGGGCCCUUCCUCUCACAUCUCAUCAGAUGCCAGGGAGCGUGAAGUCACACAAACACAAACUCCUGGAAUAAGAUGCCAGUAAGCUACAUUACUGCCAGGGUGUUCUCCAGCUACUCUGGCACCUCCACCCCGUACAGGUCAAACAGUUCGCUGGGUAACUAACUGCACUUUCUUGAACAAGUUUACAGAAAAUUAGCCAGCAGAGCAAUGCUGUACCCCAAAAUGCCUCUGAUUACCUGACUCUUGAUGCCUUGCUGAGUGAUGAAGGUCUUCAGAGCCCCUGUUUCAGAGUUCUGAGGAUAGCCAAAAUCCAGGAUUUCUACAAGAGAGUAAAAGACAAUUAGCUCAGAGCCACAAGCCAGAAGUGCAACAGAGACAUGCCAACUACAUUAACAACUAUGGUAAGGAAAGGGUUACAGAACAACCAAAUGCAAUAUCAUACAGCUGGCCGAAGGGAAACAUCUCACCAUCCAGCAGCUCAUAGAUCAGCACGAAGUUGUUCUUUAUGUUUUCUUCACUGAUCUUUCCGAAGUAAGCAGUCAUCACGUCACACAUCUUGUAAAGAAACUCAAACACCAUGGCAGCGUUGACAUUCUGCUUGGUGACAGCAGCCAGCCAGAUGUUGGAACGCUUGACAUGGAAGAAACUUGUGCGGGCGAUGUUGGUGACAGGCGAGCGGACCUGCUGCCGUGCGUGGAUGACAUUGACGCGGAAGGCAUCCACGGCAUUCCGCCUACAAGACCAAAGACAAGUUACCACCACGUGCACAAAAACAGGUUGGCUGCACAGCUCUGCUUACGUGAUUACAGUCAGACAUUGAACUACACACACCCAGCUUACUUAGGAUAAGUGCCUGGGGAUGUCACAGCCAAGAGGGACAAAUGAAGGCUCUGAGCAGAGAUGGACAUUAAAAUCCCAUACAGACUCAAGGAAAUAAAGUUACUGGUUUCUGCAGUUUUGUAUGACAAUUCUAAUUGGAGGCAGAAAGAGAAGUUAACCUCCAUCUGGAGUCAGAUGGCAGAGAAAACCUUCCGCUUAUCUUGCUGAUCAAUUACCAUAGCCAGGAAUGAACACUAAAAAAGGCUGUGGCUCAAAGAAGAGUAUGGUUUUGACUGGGCUGUUUAUUAUCUAAUCCACGUGCCCAGGCCUUCAUACUCUUGCCCCAAAACAAAGCUGUAGUCUCCCCUGAUGUGACAGUUCCCCCAGAUAUACCUCUGAGUUAAAAAAAAACAACAGGAAAUCUGCCCAGGUCACCUGACAGAUGUCAGUGCCUGUGUACACCACGAAGGGCAGUUUUAAUUCUCAGAUUCAUCUCACCUCCACAUCCCAGGUACCAUGGAGGGCAGGCUGAAAGCAGCAAGUAGGAUUAGGAACAUUCCUGACUUUCCAGUUACGUGUCCUUUCUAGCCUGCUAUGCUUCAGAACAGGUCUCUUGAAGACAGUAACA